RNAcentral lists this ribosomal RNA (420 nucleotides) under Deltaproteobacteria bacterium. Its description in RNAcentral is "bacterial SSU rRNA". It matches the Rfam family "Bacterial small subunit ribosomal RNA", at positions 1 to 401 of the family's 1533-position model. Lineage: Bacteria; Pseudomonadati; Myxococcota; Myxococcia. The record is from RNAcentral.
AAAGUGGAGAGUUUGAUCCUGGCUCAGAACGAACGCUGGCGGCGUGCCUAACACAUGCAAGUCGAGCGAGAAAGGGGGGGCAACCCCCUGAGUAGAGCGGCGCACGGGUGAGUAACGCGUGGGUAACCUACCCCCCGGCGGGGGAUAACCACUCGAAAGGGUGGCUAAUACCGCAUGAGACCACGGGGUCUUCGGACCCUGAGGCCAAAGGCUGCAUCGGCUUGCCGGUGCAGUCACCGGAGGAUGGGCCCGCGUCCGAUUAGCUAGUUGGCGAGGUAACGGCUCACCAAGGCUACGAUCGGUAGCUGGUCUGAGAGGAUGAUCAGCCACACUGGAACUGGAACACGGUCCAGACUCCUACGGGAGGCAGCAGUGAGGAAUAUUGCGCAAUGGGGGAAACCCUGACGCAGCAACGCCGCG